UUGAACGCUGGCGGCAGGCUUAACACAUGCAAGUCGAGCGGGGGAAGGUAGCUUGCUACUGGACCUAGCGGCGGACGGGUGAGUAAUGCUUAGGAAUCUGCCUAUUAGUGGGGGACAACAUCUCGAAAGGGAUGCUAAUACCGCAUACGUCCUACGGGAGAAAGCAGGGGAUCUUCGGACCUUGCGCUAAUAGAUGAGCCUAAGUCGGAUUAGCUAGUUGGUGGGGUAAAGGCCUACCAAGGCGACGAUCUGUAGCGGGUCUGAGAGGAUGAUCCGCCACACUGGGACUGAGACACGGCCCAGACUCCUACGGGAGGCAGCAGUGGGGAAUAUUGGACAAUGGGGGGAACCCUGAUCCAGCCAUGCCGCGUGUGUGAAGAAGGCCUUAUGGUUGUAAAGCACUUUAAGCGAGGAGGAGGCUACUUUAGUUAAUACCUAGAGAUAGUGGACGUUACUCGCAGAAUAAGCACCGGCUAACUCUGUGCCAGCAGCCGCGGUAAUACAGAGGGUGCGAGCGUUAAUCGGAUUUACUGGGCGUAAAGCGUGCGUAGGCGGCUUAUUAAGUCGGAUGUGAAAUCCCCGAGCUUAACUUGGGAAUUGCAUUCGAUACUGGUGAGC
RNAcentral lists this ribosomal RNA (618 nucleotides) under Acinetobacter baumannii OIFC189. RNAcentral's name for it is "bacterial SSU rRNA". It matches the Rfam family "Bacterial small subunit ribosomal RNA", at positions 29 to 641 of the family's 1533-position model. The record is from RNAcentral. Lineage: Bacteria; Pseudomonadati; Pseudomonadota; Gammaproteobacteria; Moraxellales; Moraxellaceae.